UUAUGGCAAAGUUAUUUUGUUGUUGUUGUUAUCUUAUCAUUUACCAAGCUUGUUUCUUGACUUAGAACAUUAUGGUCUAUUUGAGUUCCACUCCCCUGGGGAUGGAGAGACAUUGUCUCGAACUUUAGGCUUUUAUGUGCUUCUGUUUUUAGAGAUCAUUUGAGGGUCUGCAAGUUUUCAGUGUUUCCAAGGUGUGGUGAGAUGUAUGGUAACUUCUCUCCUGGUCUGCAUCCUGGUCUUCCCUCUGCUCUCUUGCAACCACCACAGCAGGCCCUUCCCAAUCAGGACAGGCACAGAUUCCCCUAACAGACUACAGCAGGCCAAUCAGGACAGGCACAGAUAACUCUGGUAAGUAUAUCCUUUAAAAAUACACCCCACCUCCCAACCCCUACAUAUCGUCU
RNAcentral lists this long non-coding RNA (401 nucleotides) under Monodelphis domestica (gray short-tailed opossum). RNAcentral describes it as "lncRNA (ENSMODG00000032978.2)". Lineage: Eukaryota; Metazoa; Chordata; Mammalia; Didelphimorphia; Didelphidae. The record is from RNAcentral.